GCUGGCGGCAGGCCUAACACAUGCAAGUCGAGCGCGCCUUCGGGUGAGCGGCGGACGGGUUAGUAACGCGUGGGAACGUACCCUUUUCUACGGAAUAGCCUUUGGAAACGAAGAGUAAUACCGUAUACGCCCUUUGGGGGAAAGAUUUAUCGGAGAAGGAUCGGCCCGCGUUAGAUUAGAUAGUUGGUGGGGUAACGGCCUACCAAGUCUACGAUCUAUAGCUGGUUUUAGAGGAUGAUCAGCAACACUGGGACUGAGACACGGCCCAGACUCCUACGGGAGGCAGCAGUGGGGAAUCUUAGACAAUGGGCGCAAGCCUGAUCUAGCCAUGCCGCGUGAGUGAUGAAGGCCUUAGGGUCGUAAAGCUCUUUCGCCUGUGAUGAUAAUGACAGUAGCAGGUAAAGAAACCCCGGCUAACUCCGUGCCAGCAGCCGCGGUAAUACGGAGGGGGUUAGCGUUGUUCGGAAUUACUGGGCGUAAAGCGCACGUAGGCGGAUUGGAAAGUUGGGGGUGAAAUCCCGGGGCUCAACCCCGGAACUGCCUCCAAAACUAUCAGUCUAGAGUUCGAGAGAGGUGAGUGGAAUUCCAAGUGUAGAGGUGAAAUUCGUAGAUAUUUGGAGGAACACCAGUGGCGAAGGCGGCUCACUGGCUCGAUACUGACGCUGAGGUGCGAAAGUGUGGGGAGCAAACAG
Molecule: ribosomal RNA, 692 nt
Filed under: uncultured Ruegeria sp.
Lineage: Bacteria; Pseudomonadati; Pseudomonadota; Alphaproteobacteria; Rhodobacterales; Roseobacteraceae
Description: bacterial SSU rRNA
Rfam family: Bacterial small subunit ribosomal RNA
Source: RNAcentral